RNAcentral lists this long non-coding RNA (623 nucleotides) under Elaeis guineensis (African oil palm). RNAcentral's name for it is "long non-coding RNA (EGUI_LNC033949)". The record is from RNAcentral. Lineage: Eukaryota; Viridiplantae; Streptophyta; Magnoliopsida; Arecales; Arecaceae.
UCCAUCUUGAAGGGUGAACCUCUUUCAUUUUGGUGGAUUUAAGCAUUCUGUCUUUCUGAAAAUCAGACACUAAUUUUUUGAACCAGAUGCUUGAUCUUAUGAUGGUUCUCGUUUCUUUCAUCUAAUUCUGUUAGAUGUUAUAUUUGUAAGUUGCCCUUUUUCUUUCUUUUUUUUUUUUUGGGUUGCAUAAGUUGCCCUUUUUUACUAAUUGGAGUCAAACAGGGGGUUUGAGAUUGUGUCAUGGGAAGCAACCCACUAAAGGAGGUUGACUUAUUCUUAAUUUGUCUUUUUGAUUGUUUGCUACCAUUUUCCUUCUUAGAUUUGUGGAACAUGGCAGUUAAUCAAUGGGUUGGAAAUACAAAGCUUGUGGCAUUAGAAGAGCAAGUGGCUCAUAAUAUACAUGUGUAGCUCCAUUAUCAAUGGGUUUAUGGUUCUGCAUAAGCAGGCAACGUUCCAUUGCUUGGAGGUAGAUCAACACAUUAACCAUCCAUCAAAUGAUAAUUAAUCCUUUUGCACAGCAUAACAUUCAAGUGAUAUGGAGCCUUAUUGGUCCUUUUUUUUUUUUUUUGAAUUUUAACAGCAUUGACUGAAAGAAAAAAGAGUAGUAGCAGCUUCGUUACAUG